This 481-nucleotide ribosomal RNA is filed under the name uncultured bacterium. RNAcentral describes it as "partial 16S ribosomal RNA". It matches the Rfam family "Bacterial small subunit ribosomal RNA", at positions 28 to 507 of the family's 1533-position model. The record is from RNAcentral.
GAUGAACGCUGGCGGCGUGCUUAACACAUGCAAGUCGAACGAAGAAUUUAGGACAGUUUACUUCGGUUUGAUGUUCUUUAUGACUGAGUGGCGGACGGGUGAGUAACGCGUGGGUAACCUGACUUGUACUGGGGGAUAGCAGCUGGAAACGGCUGGUAAUACCGCAUAAGCGCACAAUGUUGCAUGACAUGGUGUGAAAAACUCCGGUGGUAUAAGAUGGACCCGCGUCUGAUUAGCCAGUCGGUGAGAUAACAGCCUACCCAGGCGACGAUCAGUAGCCGAGCGGGGAGGGUGACCGGCCACAUUUGGGAUGCGGCACAGCCCAGACUCCGACGGGAGUCAGGAGUGGAGAAUAUAGCAGAAUGGAGGAAACUCUGAUGCAGCGGCGCCGCGUGAGUGAAGAAUUGAUUCGUUAUGUAAAUCUCUAUGAGCCGGGAAGUUAGUGACGGUACCUGAUUAAGAAGCUCCGGCUAACUACGUG